Molecule: ribosomal RNA, 274 nt
Filed under: uncultured Ascomycota
Lineage: Eukaryota; Fungi; Ascomycota
Description: partial 18S ribosomal RNA
Rfam family: Eukaryotic small subunit ribosomal RNA
Source: RNAcentral
UUGGAGGGCAAGUCUGGUGCCGAGCAGCCGCGGUAAUUCCAGCUCCAACAGCGUAUAUUAAAGUUGUUGUGGUUAAAAAGCUCGUAGUUGAACCUUGGGCCUGGCUGGCCGGUCCGCCUCACCGCGUGCACUGGUCCGGCCGGGCCUUUCCCUCUGCGGAACCCCAUGCCCUUCACUGGGUGUGGCGGGGAAACAGGACUUUUACUUUGAAAAAAUUAGAGUGCUCAAGGCAGGCCUAUGCUCGAAUACAUUAGCAUGGAAUAAUAGAAUAGGA